CUCUUAGAGGAUCGAUGACCUGCUGAUGAACCUCCCACUAAAUUCAUCGACUUUUUUUGGUGCUGGCAGUCCUUUUCAAAAGUCUGCAGUAAUCCUAGCAAACCAUGGUAGCUCACUACAGGCUUCAUCAUUCUGUAAUGAUUGAGAAAGGGUAGGUAGAAUUUCGGUAGUGAAUUGAGGAUAGCAUCCUUGCCUAACUAUUCUUGCAACAGAAAGCCAAGUU
RNAcentral lists this long non-coding RNA (223 nucleotides) under Elaeis guineensis (African oil palm). Its description in RNAcentral is "long non-coding RNA (EGUI_LNC067561)". The record is from RNAcentral. Lineage: Eukaryota; Viridiplantae; Streptophyta; Magnoliopsida; Arecales; Arecaceae.